GGGGAUAUAGCUCAGUUGGUAGAGUGCUUAUCUUGUAUGCACAAGGACCUGGGGUCGAUCCCCAGUAUCACCA
RNAcentral lists this transfer RNA (73 nucleotides) under Urocitellus parryii (Arctic ground squirrel). RNAcentral's name for it is "Spermophilus parryii (Arctic ground squirrel) tRNA". It matches the Rfam family "tRNA". From Rfam's summary of the family: Transfer RNA (tRNA) molecules are approximately 80 nucleotides in length. RNAcentral also lists the same sequence under 1 other name. The record is from Rfam by way of RNAcentral. Lineage: Eukaryota; Metazoa; Chordata; Mammalia; Rodentia; Sciuridae.